Molecule: ribosomal RNA, 490 nt
Filed under: uncultured bacterium
Lineage: Bacteria
Description: partial 16S ribosomal RNA
Rfam family: Bacterial small subunit ribosomal RNA
Source: RNAcentral
AAUGAACGCUGGCGGCAUGCCUUACACAUGCAAGUCGAACGGCAGCACGAUCUAGCUUGCUAGUUUGGGGGCGAGUGGCGAACGGGGGAGUAAUGCAUCGCGACAUGCCUUUUAUUGGGGGAGAACGUAUCGAAAGAUACACUAAUACCCCAUAUUCUCUGAGGAGGAAAGAAGGGGACCUCCUGGCCUCGCGCUAGAAUGGCGGCCGAUGUCGGAUUUGCUAGUUGGGGGGGGAAAGGCGCACCAAGGCAACGAUCCGUAGCUGGUCUGAGAGGAUGAUCAGCCACACUGGGACUGAGACACGGCCCAGACUCCUACGGGAGGCAGCAGUGGGGAAUUUUGGACAAUGGGCGCAAGCCUGAUCCAGCCAUGCCGCGUGGGUGAAGAAGGCCUUCGGGUUGUAAAGCUCUUUUGGCUGGGAAGAAAUGGAACCGUCUAAUACCGGGUGUGGAUGACGGUACCAGCAUAAGAAGCACCGGCUAACUACGUG